AUUGAACGCUGGCGGUAUGCUUAACACAUGCAAGUCGAACGGUAACAGGCCUUCGGGCGCUGACGAGUGGCGGACGGGUGAGUAACGCGUAGGAAUCUGCCUGUUAGUGGGGGACAACGUGGGGAAACUCACGCUAAUACCGCAUACGCCCUACGGGGGAAAGCGGGGGCUCUUCGGACCUCGCGCUAACAGAUGAGCCUGCGUGGGAUUAGCUAGUUGGUGGGGUAAAGGCCCACCAAGGCGACGAUCCGUAGCUGGUUUGAGAGAACGACCAGCCACACCGGAACUGAGACACGGUCCGGACUCCUACGGGAGGCAG
Molecule: ribosomal RNA, 319 nt
Filed under: uncultured Pseudomonadota bacterium
Lineage: Bacteria; Pseudomonadati; Pseudomonadota
Description: bacterial SSU rRNA
Rfam family: Bacterial small subunit ribosomal RNA
Source: RNAcentral